This 374-nucleotide ribosomal RNA is filed under the name uncultured eukaryote. RNAcentral's name for it is "partial 18S ribosomal RNA". It matches the Rfam family "Eukaryotic small subunit ribosomal RNA", at positions 592 to 976 of the family's 1831-position model. The record is from RNAcentral.
CAAGAGCGUAUGUGAAAGUUGUUGCAGUUAAAAAGCUCGUAGUUGAACCUUGGGUUUGGUUGGCCGGUCCGCUUUUUUGCGAGUACUGGAUUCAACCGAGCCUUUCCUUCUGGCUAACCAGUCGUUUCGGCGGCUGGCGAACCAGGAUUUUUACUUUGAGAAAAUUAGAGUGUUCAAAGCAGGCAUUAGCUUGAAUAUAUUAGCAUGGAAUAAUAGAAUAGGACGUUAUGGUUCUAUUUUGUUGGUUUCUAGGACCAUCGUAAUGAUUAAUAGGGACGGUCGGGGGCAUCAGUAUUCAGUUGUCAGAGGUGAAAUUCUUGGAUUUACUGAAGACUAACUACUGCGAAAGCAUUUGCCAAGGACGUUUUCAUUAA